AAAUGAAAACAACUGUUCGUAGUGGCUCUAAGUACAGGUCCUAAAUCUGUGUAAGGGUGAGGUGUGCUGGAGAGAUGAGAGCUGGGGGGGUUAAGUAUCCUGGCAGUUUAUCCAAACCUGCUGACUGUGAGGGUGAGAUCUCAGAAAACAUGGGAUCGAGGAGGAGGAGAAGACGAGCUUAAACAUAAACUAUGGAGAUUAGAAGUGAUGGUGAGUGGGAGAGAAAGAGAGAGAGAGAGAGAGAGAG
Molecule: long non-coding RNA, 247 nt
Organism: Thalassophryne amazonica
Lineage: Eukaryota; Metazoa; Chordata; Actinopteri; Batrachoidiformes; Batrachoididae
Exons: 2
Source: RefSeq, a predicted model, not a curated record